RNAcentral lists this ribosomal RNA (229 nucleotides) under uncultured bacterium. RNAcentral describes it as "partial 16S ribosomal RNA". It matches the Rfam family "Bacterial small subunit ribosomal RNA", at positions 568 to 796 of the family's 1533-position model. The record is from RNAcentral.
UGCGUAGGCGGAAAAUUAAGUCAGUGAUGAAAUCCUGCAGCUUAACUGUAGAACUGUUAUUGAUACUGAUUUUCUUGAAUAUAGUUGAGGUAGGCGGAAUGUGUAAUGUAGCGGUGAAAUGCUUAGAUAUUACACAGAACACCGAUUGCGAAUGCAGCUUACUAAGCUAUUAUUGACGCUGAGGCACGAAAGCGUGGGGAGCGAACAGGAUUAGAUACCCUGGUAGUCC